RNAcentral lists this unclassified non-coding RNA (197 nucleotides) under uncultured fungus. RNAcentral describes it as "sequence contains ITS1". The record is from RNAcentral. Lineage: Eukaryota; Fungi.
UUUGCAUUUAAAUUUUCGCUCAGACACGGGUAAAACAGAUUUUAAAUGGUUCUUUAGUGGGCGCUCGCCAGCUAUAGCCGGCGGCGACAAGGGCCACGGCCCACUAAAGCAACUGAGGUUGAUUUACACAGGGUGGAGAUGGCUCUCGAAAGAGGCCGAACUCGAUAAUGAUCCUUCCGCAGGUUCACCUACGGAAA